Molecule: ribosomal RNA, 1450 nt
Filed under: uncultured organism
Description: SSU rRNA
Rfam family: Bacterial small subunit ribosomal RNA
Source: RNAcentral
CGCUGGCGGCGUGCCUAAUACAUGCAAGUAGAACGCUGAAGAGAGGAGCUUGCUCUUCUUGGAUGAGUUGCGAACGGGUGAGUAACGCGUAGGUAACCUGCCUUGUAGCGGGGGAUAACUAUUGGAAACGAUAGCUAAUACCGCAUAACAAUGGAUGACACAUGUCAUUUAUUUGAAAGGGGCAAUUGCUCCACUACAAGAUGGACCUGCGUUGUAUUAGCUAGUAGGUGAGGUAACGGCUCACCUAGGCGACGAUACAUAGCCGACCUGAGAGGGUGAUCGGCCACACUGGGACUGAGACACGGCCCAGACUCCUACGGGAGGCAGCAGUAGGGAAUCUUCGGCAAUGGGGGCAACCCUGACCGAGCAACGCCGCGUGAGUGAAGAAGGUUUUCGGAUCGUAAAGCUCUGUUGUAAGUCAAGAACGAGUGUGAGAGUGGAAAGUUCACACUGUGACGGUAGCUUACCAGAAAGGGACGGCUAACUACGUGCCAGCAGCCGCGGUAAUACGUAGGUCCCGAGCGUUGUCCGGAUUUAUUGGGCGUAAAGCGAGCGCAGGCGGUUUGAUAAGUCUGAAGUUAAAGGCUGUGGCUCAACCAUAGUUCGCUUUGGAAACUGUCAAACUUGAGUGCAGAAGGGGAGAGUGGAAUUCCAUGUGUAGCGGUGAAAUGCGUAGAUAUAUGGAGGAACACCGGUGGCGAAAGCGGCUCUCUGGUCUGUAACUGACGCUGAGGCUCGAAAGCGUGGGGAGCGAACAGGAUUAGAUACCCUGGUAGUCCACGCCGUAAACGAUGAGUGCUAGGUGUUGGAUCCUUUCCGGGAUUCAGUGCCGCAGCUAACGCAUUAAGCACUCCGCCUGGGGAGUACGACCGCAAGGUUGAAACUCAAAGGAAUUGACGGGGGCCCGCACAAGCGGUGGAGCAUGUGGUUUAAUUCGAAGCAACGCGAAGAACCUUACCAGGUCUUGACAUCCCGAUGCUAUUUCUAGAGAUAGAAAGUUACUUCGGUACAUCGGUGACAGGUGGUGCAUGGUUGUCGUCAGCUCGUGUCGUGAGAUGUUGGGUUAAGUCCCGCAACGAGCGCAACCCCUAUUGUUAGUUGCCAUCAUUCAGUUGGGCACUCUAGCGAGACUGCCGGUAAUAAACCGGAGGAAGGUGGGGAUGACGUCAAAUCAUCAUGCCCCUUAUGACCUGGGCUACACACGUGCUACAAUGGUUGGUACAACGAGUUGCGAGUCGGUGACGGCAAGCUAAUCUCUUAAAGCCAAUCUCAGUUCGGAUUGUAGGCUGCAACUCGCCUACAUGAAGUCGGAAUCACUAGUAAUCGCGGAUCAGCACGCCGCGGUGAAUACGUUCCCGGGCCUUGUACACACCGCCCGUCACACCACGAGAGUUUGUAACACCCGAAGUCGAAGAGGUAACCUUUUGGAGCCAGCCGCCUAAGGUGGGAU